GAUGAACGCUGGCGGCGUGCCUAAUACAUGCAAGUCGAGCGAACGGACGAGAAGCUUGCUUCUCUGAUGUUAGCGGCGGACGGGUGAGUAACACGUGGAUAACCUACCUAUAAGACUGGGAUAACUUCGGGAAACCGGAGCUAAUACCGGAUGAUAUUUUGAACCGCAUGGUUCAAAAGUGAAAGACGGUCUUGCUGUCACUUAUAGAUGGAUCCGCGCUGCAUUAGCUAGUUGGUAAGGUAACGGCUUACCAAGGCAACGAUGCAUAGCCGACCUGAGAGGGUGAUCGGCCACACUGGAACUGAGGCACGGUCCAGACUCCUACGGGAGGCAGCAGUAGGGAAUCAUCCGCAAUGGGCGAAAGCCUGACGGAGCAACGCCGCGUGAGUGAUGAAGGUCUUCGGAUCGUAAAACUCUGUUAUUAGGGAAGAACAUAUGUGUAAGUAACUGUGCACAUCUUGACGGUACCUAAUCAGAAAGCCACGGCUAACUACGUG
RNAcentral lists this ribosomal RNA (497 nucleotides) under uncultured bacterium. RNAcentral's name for it is "partial 16S ribosomal RNA". It matches the Rfam family "Bacterial small subunit ribosomal RNA", at positions 28 to 507 of the family's 1533-position model. The record is from RNAcentral.